AUGCUGCUGCCGCUGCCCCGUGCUACCGCCUCCAUUGAACUGGUCGGCUCGCGCUCCAUCAGCUCCGUUGCCGCAGCCGCCGAGCACCACGCUGCAGUCUUGGAGAAGGGCCGCAACCGCCGAGCUCCGUUGCCACAGUCUUGGACAGGAAGUGGAUGGGGUGGAGGCGAGGAGAUGUGGAGGAGGGCCCGAGAAGUGAGCGCUUUGGCCGGAGAUGUGGAGGAGGGCGAGGAGAUGUGGCCUGUGCGCAGCGGCGGCGCCGCACACAGGAGGAGGGACAGGAAACGAGCGAUUCUAGGGUUGGCUGUUUCGGUUUCGUGGAUAGCACCACCGGUGAUUCCAAAGCUGAUGCUGCUCAAACGGUUUCCUCUGGAGCUCUCCAGCACCGGCCUCGGCUUCGACCCGGCCACCGGCCAGCACAAGGUGGUCAGGCUCUUCAGGAACAUCUUCGGGCAGCAGAAGUGCGAGGUGUGCUCGCUUACGGCGUCCGGCGAGUGGCGGUGGCGGCGCUGCGCCGGCGGUGACGCGCCGCCAAGAUUCGCCUGCGCCGACGACGGCACCGCCAGCUGGGACCCGCAGCACGACGCGCCCAUCCUGUCGCUCUCCGUCGGCGCCGAUCGGUUCGGGUGGGUGCGCACGCCGCCGCGGCUGGCGUCACGCAGCCGGCACCUCACCAACCUCGACGGCUCCCUCUGCGCCGUCGUCCACGCCCGCCUCGUUUACGACGUGCUCCUGCUCAUCACGUGGAGUCCAUCGUCGCCGUCGUGGUCUGCGCGCUGCCGCAUCAACGUGGGCAGCCUGCCCCAGCCGAUCCGGGACGAGCUCAGCGGGGAGCGGGAGAUCGUCCCGCUGUGCAGUGUGAAGAAGAAGAUCCUGCUGGCGACGAGCCGGCACAAGGUGUACGCCUACGACACGGAGCAAGGCGCCGCCGAGGAGGUGUUCGACAUAAAUAGCUUUGUCGAUGUGCCGCCACACAACAGCGAGUCACGGCUGUUCGUCAACAUUGGCCUCCACGAGGAACACAUCGGCCCGAAGUUGGCGGGUGACAACUGGCUACAGGUGAAGCGGGGACGAGGCAUGGUGCUCGGCAAGCGGGAGCCGUCGUCGGCGUAUCAUCUGGAACAUCGGGAGCAGGACGAGGACUUUCACAGGAAGAGAGAAGUGGUCAUGCACCUUGCAUUUCCAUAG
This 1188-nucleotide ribosomal RNA is filed under the name Triticum aestivum (bread wheat). Its description in RNAcentral is "partial small subunit ribosomal RNA". Lineage: Eukaryota; Viridiplantae; Streptophyta; Magnoliopsida; Poales; Poaceae. The record is from RNAcentral.